This 740-nucleotide ribosomal RNA is filed under the name uncultured eukaryote. RNAcentral describes it as "eukaryotic LSU rRNA". The stretch from base 261 to 414 matches the Rfam family "5.8S ribosomal RNA". The record is from RNAcentral.
UAAAAGUCGUAACAAGGUUUCUGUAGGUGAACCUGCAGAAGGAUCAUUAGUGAAGAUUUGGGCAGGCCAUACGGACGCCAAAAAGUGUCCCUGGCCGCCUACACCCACUAUACAUCCACAAACCCGUGUGCACUGUCUUGGAGAAAGGCUUCAGAGAAGUUUUUUGUGGCCUCUCUUGGGGUCUUUCUUCGCUACAAACUCGAAUGGUUAGUAUGAACGUGGAACUUGGUUGGACCGUCACUGGCCAACAAACUAUACACAACUUUCGACAACGGAUCUCUUGGUUCUCCCAUCGAUGAAGAACGCAGCGAAACGCGAUAGGUAAUGUGAAUUGCAGAAUUCCGUGAAUCAUCGAAUCUUUGAACGCACCUUGCGCUCUAUGGCAAUCCGUAGAGCAUGCCUGUUUGAGUGCCAUGAAAUCUCCCACCCCAAGCGGUUUUUAAAUGAAACGGCUUGGCGGAUGGGGUCUGGAUGGGUGCCUCUGCCUGCGCUACCUAGCACAGGCUCGCCCGAAAUGCAUGAGCGCCUUGAGACACUUUGCAUCCGCCUCUCUGUUUGGGAGGAGGCGGCCAAGCAGUGUUUUUCUCCUGGCAUGGCAUGAUACGUCAUUUGCUAUGUCGCCUAAAGGAGGAAUGUUUGGUUGUGUCUGCGUGUGCUUCGAACUUGCCUCUGUGGCACAUCCCAAUUUCACUUCUGGUCUCAAAUCAGGUAGGAUCACCCGCUGAACUUAAGCAUAUCAA